Molecule: ribosomal RNA, 253 nt
Filed under: uncultured bacterium
Lineage: Bacteria
Description: partial 16S ribosomal RNA
Rfam family: Bacterial small subunit ribosomal RNA
Source: RNAcentral
GACAGAGGGUGCAAACGUUGUUCGGAAUUACUGGGCGUAAAGCGUGUGUAGGCGGCUUUGCAAGUCGGAUGUGAAAGUCGGAGGCUCAACCUUCGAAAGCCGGUGGAUACUGCGUGACUAGAGUACGGAAGAGGAGAGUGGAAUUCCUGGUGUAGCGGUGAAAUGCGCAGAUAUCAGGAGGAACACCAACGGCGAAGGCAGCUCUCUGGGACGUUACUGACGCUGAGACGCGAAAGCGUGGGGAGCAAACAGG